This 224-nucleotide ribosomal RNA is filed under the name Acinetobacter baumannii. Its description in RNAcentral is "partial 23S ribosomal RNA". It matches the Rfam family "Bacterial large subunit ribosomal RNA", at positions 238 to 464 of the family's 2925-position model. The record is from RNAcentral. Lineage: Bacteria; Pseudomonadati; Pseudomonadota; Gammaproteobacteria; Moraxellales; Moraxellaceae.
CCAAAGUAGCGGCGAGCGAAAUGGAAAGAGCCCAAACCUAAGCCUUUGGCUUAGGGGUUGAGGACAGAGCAUAAAAUAUAACAGGAAUUAGCCGAAGACAACUGGAAAGUUGCUCCGCAGAAGGUAAUAGACCUGUAGGUGAAAAUGGAAGUUAUAGAGUUCUGAUCCAGAGUACCACGAGACACGUGAAACCUUGUGGGAAGCAGGGAGGACCACCUCCCAAG